CAGUCGAAAGCCAGUAGAAACGUUCAUGUUUUAUGACGUCACGGUGAAGGAAUGCAGCGUGGAACUUGUAAGUUAUUUUACUUAUUAGUAAACUUUAUUUAGUUUGACAAAUUGCCCAAGGCCCGCCAAACACAAAACAAGCUUUUGACAAAGGGAGAAGUUCUAGGGUGAGGCGGUAAAACCGAUGUUUUUUGAAAACCGAAUUACUCGAUGUUACUUUUGGAGAAAGACCGGAAAACCGAAAAAACCGGAGGAAAACCGAAAUCGAACCAUACUUAUCGGGUCUGUUGCAAAUGAAUCAACUUUGGCAUUUACACACGAAAACUAAAG
Non-coding RNA from Paramuricea clavata, 330 nucleotides. The record is from the annotation of a GenBank genome assembly. Lineage: Eukaryota; Metazoa; Cnidaria; Anthozoa; Malacalcyonacea; Plexauridae.